CAAUUCUUAUAUUUAUUUAUUGAUAAUUGUAAUAUAGAAUUAUAAUUUUACAAAUGGAGUUGUUGGGAUUUGUAAAUACCUAGAAUUGCUAAUCUUAAAAUACAAAAAUUUAAUUUAAUUUUACAAAGCUACAAGUGAAAAUUAGGAGGGAAACUUACCUCCUUAAUUUGAUAAAGCAUAUAAUUUGAUAAAAAAAAAUUUGUGGGAAAAUUACCUCCAACAAAAUUUGUGGGAAAAUUACCUCCAAAUAUUUAUCAACUAGUGAAAAAUUCCCUCCAACAAUAAAAAAAUAAAGAUCGUAAAAAAUAAAUAAAUAAAAUCUUACUCCCUCCUGUUCUUCGGUUCUCUACUACAUUCUCCAUUUUCCAUUCUCCAUUCUCUAGUGUCUACCGAUUUCUAGCGUUUUCUCCAUCAGCUUUCCACGGUCUCCAUUCGGGUGGCUUCCUCUCUUGAUUUCCUCCAUUGAAACAACUUUUAAGAAUUUUGGCAGUUGAAUCAUGGGGCAGCCUCAAAUGGCCGGAGGUGAUAGGGCUAGUGUACCUACACCAGAUAAAUGACCAACAAUGCCCUAGCUUACCUGAAGGCAGUGAAGAAAUUGUUCCCGGAGAAGGAGAAAUAUGAUAAAUUCAUCAGGACAUUACGAGGCAAUAAGCUGGAACAUUGGUGUUUUAAUUCAGCCUAAGAUGCAGUUCUAAUAUGUUUCUGAAUUAUGUAGCCUAUCAAUUCUAAACAUCAGUUCUGAUUAUCAGCUCUGAAAUCAGAUCUGAAUUAUAGUUCUAAAGUUCAUUUCAAGAUAUCAGUUCUGUUUUUUAGUUGUGAAAUCAGUACUAAAUUUCAGUUCUGAAAUUAGUUUUGAAAUUCAGCUCUGAAAUAAGUCCUGAUAAUUAUUUUUAAUUUAGUUCUGAGACGGUGUUCUGAAAUUAGUUGAGAGAUUGUGAUUUGAAAUUAGUUCUGAAAUUCAAUUCUGAAUUUCAUGGUUGGUUCAUUUCAGGAGUGCUAUAUUGUUGGGUCUUUUACGAAAACAAGUUGGUUUCUGCUACAAUGGCUACUCAGAUGAGCAAGAACCGAAAGUUCGGUUCUGAUGGUGUCAUUUACGCUGAACUAAAUAAAGUUUUAAGUAGAGAACUCACUGAAGAUAGCUACUCUGGUGGCAAAGUUAGGGUUACUCCUAUGUGCACGUAGAUCAUCAUUAGGGCUACUUAUAUCCAGAAUCUUCUUCGUAAUUUACCCCUUUUGUGUUUUGGAUUCGAUUUUUUCAAUUCUUUGUUUCUGAUUUUGUUAUUUUGAUUGAUUGUAUUAGGUGAGAAGGGAAGAAGGAUUAAGGAAUCCUGUUUUUUGAAGAUGGAUGACUCUGAUGUAGCAAACUUUAUAGCCAUUUGCUGGGCUAUUUGUGGUGCUAGGAACUCUCAGAUCAUGGAGGGGGAGUGUAAGGACUAUGGGGAAGUGCUGAGCUAUGCUAUAAAGACUAGAAAUUCCAAGCCUGGUUUCUGCUGUGCUGCCGCUGUUGGUUCAGGGAAGCACUAGACGAAAAUAUCAAUUGGCCACCGGUUCAAAACCCGCCUAUGCCACCGGUUUUGAACCGGUGGUCAUUUGGGGGGUGGCAAUAAACUGAAGCAAAGCCACCGGUUCAAAACCGGUGGCAAAAUCAAGUAUUGCCACCGGUUAACCGGUGGCAAUAAGCCUUCCCGCAAUUUUUUUUAUUUGUAUUAAUAACUAUUGCCAGCGGUUAAUCGGUGGCAAUAAUGCCCUAAAAAAGCAAAAAAAAAAAAAAAAAAUAUUUGCAUUUUUUUCAAUUAAAAUGUAGCAGAAACAUAUUUACAUGCAUAAUAUACAUAAAACACGUAUAUAUUCGUCAA
Chenopodium quinoa (quinoa) is the source of this 1856-nucleotide long non-coding RNA. RefSeq lists it as uncharacterized. The record is from RefSeq and is a predicted model, not a curated record. Lineage: Eukaryota; Viridiplantae; Streptophyta; Magnoliopsida; Caryophyllales; Amaranthaceae. The transcript has 2 exons.